GCUUAAUGCUGUCAAUGAUAACAUCAUGAAACUCCUUCUUUGCAAUUCCCAAGACUUCUUUCAAUGUGAAUUCCACCUUAGCAUUUAAUAUACGUUCUUCCAACACCCCUUUCAAAUUUGUUGCCGCUUCAAUGUCAGAAAGUAGCUUAUAAGCAAUUGAUUUGCCCUUAUCUUUUGUCUCCAUUGUUUUUUCUCCCAAUGAUGCUGAGGUAUCCUUUACAGUCAAUUCUUGUGAAGCUGCCUACCAAGUCUUGUCUCCUCAAGUUUGCCUCUUAAAAGAAUUUCCUUCUCUAGUAUCAUCAAAAUUUCCUCGUCUUUUUUCUUCCAUCAAAGCUUCAUGUUGGCUCUUAGCAAUAUAUGCAUGAACUGAAAGAGACUCAACAGGAUCCUCCCAACC
Molecule: long non-coding RNA, 397 nt
Filed under: Physcomitrium patens
Lineage: Eukaryota; Viridiplantae; Streptophyta; Bryopsida; Funariales; Funariaceae
Description: long non-coding RNA (PPAT_LNC002181)
Source: RNAcentral